AGUAUGAGAACUGGGAGAGGGAGAACUGGGAGAGGGAGAACUGGGAGAGGGAGAACUGGGAAGGGAGAACUGGGAGUAUGAGAACUGGGAAAAGGAGAACUGGGAGUAUGAACUGGGAGAAGGAGAAAUGGGAAACUGGGAGUAAGUAUGAACUGGGAAUAUGAACUGGGAGUCCUCACCAGCCGGGUUGGGAGGGCUUCCUGCCGCCCCUCCUCCUGCGGGCCAGGACGCUGAGGAUGGAGGUGACCAGGGUGUAGUAGAUCCCGG
This is a long non-coding RNA of Gadus macrocephalus (Pacific cod), 267 nucleotides long. RefSeq lists it as uncharacterized. NCBI's taxonomy places the organism in Eukaryota, Metazoa, Chordata, Actinopteri, Gadiformes, Gadidae. The transcript is spliced from 3 exons. The record is from RefSeq and is a predicted model, not a curated record.